This is a long non-coding RNA of Elaeis guineensis (African oil palm), 937 nucleotides long. RefSeq lists it as uncharacterized. The record is from RefSeq and is a predicted model, not a curated record. NCBI's taxonomy places the organism in Eukaryota, Viridiplantae, Streptophyta, Magnoliopsida, Arecales, Arecaceae.
UGGGUUUUCUUUCCUCCCUCCUCCUCCGCUCUCCUCCUCCUCUCGCCCCCACCGGGGUUAGAGAUCAGACAUCUACUCCACAGUCGUCAUCCAUGGCCACGGGUCCGACCCCGAGGAUGCCUCCUCCCUCCCUCCCCUCCUCCAGCGCGUUCCCAAGGACUUCAUUGUCAAGCGCGACGCCCGCCCCUCCCCCUACCCCACCGCCCGCCUCCCCUCCACUCUCCUUUCCUGGAUCUCCAGCGCGGCAGGCCCUGGAGCCGGUCAGUGCUUGACGAUGCCUAAUCUACCUUCCUGAUUCGGUCCACGACGCGCGCGGGAGCCCCGGGGUGUCCGUGUCGAAGACCGUCGUCCGGAGGACUGACGGCAGAGGCGGAGGCGGUUCGGGUCGUCGUUCAUGAGUGGGAUGGUGGAGAACAUAAGGGUGGAAGUUCCAGGGCGAGGAGGGGAGGCUGCAGCAGCCGCAGCGGCAGGCGAGGAGGAAGGCAUCGGUGAGUUACGUCCUUGAUGGUAGCGUCGCCGAGGAGGAUCCUUCCACCAAGUAUGAACUGCUUCACGAGCGCGGAAAAAGGUUCAUAUGGGGCAGUCUAAAAAGCUAGAGAUUUAAGGACCUCAGAGCUUGUUGCUGUGAAAUUCAUAUCAUUGACUGAUUGGUGCUCAGGGAGAAGGAUACGAACAAAUCCGAGGUGAAAUUAAGAUGUUGCAGCAGUGAAGUCAUCCCAAUGUGGUUGGCUACUUUGGAAGCUACCAAGGAGACGAGUACCUUUGGAUGUACUUUAUUAACCAAGUGCAUGUAAAGAGCUGCUGCAUUAAAGGGAUAUUGGAAGUUUGCCGAUGGAACAAGCUGUAAUUUGGUUUGUACGUCAGGAUACUAAGACAUUCGGCUCUUAUCCACCAGCUGUUGGAGAGAAGUAGGAAGAGGAAGAGGUGGAUGAGGAGG